Non-coding RNA from Xyrichtys novacula (pearly razorfish), 2111 nucleotides. The record is from the annotation of a GenBank genome assembly. Lineage: Eukaryota; Metazoa; Chordata; Actinopteri; Labriformes; Labridae.
GUCACUUUUCAUCUCUGCCACUGAGGGGAGCCAGUGAGCCGCUUUCUCUGCAGAGACGAGGAGCGAGGACGAAAGAGAGGAGGUGAGCAGAAGGAGAGUGAGGGCAGAGGUCAGCUGAUUCCAAGUCUGUGCAGACCUCCGACUCCCUGACAGACCCUUUAAAUACAGGCAGGGUCUGUAGAGAAGGAUUCAGAGACCAUCAAGGAGAUGAAAUCUGCAUCCAUGUUCAAAACAAGACGGUUUGAGCUGCUGCUACAUCAGAGGACCAAGUGGAGAGAUAACAAACACUCUUCAGAACCAGGAGAGGAGCUCAAAUGACCAGGUCUGUGUGUGUGUGUGUCCCGUGUUAGAGCAUCCUCGAGAGAGGCUCAACAUCCAGACCUGCAGAGAAAAUAGACGGAGAGCAGACGUCCAGAAAAAAACCAUCAGACUGAGCUCAGAACCGCAGCACGCAGGAACUCUGCAGCUCUCAGAGUCAGUGCCAGAGCUUUGAAGCUGUCAAACCCUCAGCAUAAUAAAACACACUCAUCUAUUUGUCUGCAUUCAGACCUUUUCCAGCUUCACUGUGCUCUCUGGGCCAGUGUUUGCUGCGCCUGGCUCUGCAGUCUUCAAUAUUUAUGCAGACCUUGGAUCACAGCGCUCAGUCUGUUCUCACCGGUGUGGGUUUCAAAAACACACACAUGCUGACGAGUUUACCUCAAACCAAACAUUUUCAGCAGAGGUUCGGGGGCAGGAGGGUGUCAAAAUUCAUCCAUCUUUGUAUGUCAGCGCUGCUUUGGCACAACGGGGAUUUCAAACAGUACGAAGCAGACGCAGCGUUCCUACGCAGGAUGUUUGUUGGUCCGUCUCCAGGAGAAGUGGUCGCGUCUUGUGUUUGUCUUCUUAUCUUCUGUUUAUGAGGCUCUCUGAAGCUGCUGCCAGCAGUCACAGACACAUUAGAGUCCCACAUCACAAAGUAUUUAUGUUCGCUGUGAUUAAUCGUCUGUGUGUUUGCAGAGAGAGCCUCGCACUGAUUGAGGAGUGGAAAAGGACGGCUGCAGCACAUGGGCCGAGGAGGCUGAGGGCUGCAGCCUGCGUGCAACAACCAUCUGUGGAGGUCCUGAGACUCUCUCCGCCCUCAUGUCAGGAUCACACACACACACACUCAUUAGAGAUGCACUCAAACAGGGUCACCUACAUACCUGAGACUAAACACAGGUGAGAAACAUGAGCAUUCAUUUGUCUGUUAAAGGUGGAGUAGGCAGGAAUCUGUUCAAGAAACGACUUAUUUUUGUUGUAUAAACAAAAACUCUUCUAAUAUCAGUCAAUAGUUAUUAGUUAUUGAUUAUUUGGUAAUAUAUUGAUAUCUCUGUGUUCUCUUAUGUCUGUGUCGUCAACAUUUGAACAUUUCUGAGCGGUCCGCUCUUUCUGACUGUAAACAAAGCCGUUCUCCACCUCCUCUAACCUGAUUGGUUGUGAGGCAGACGCUGCUCCCCCGUGUCGUUCAGGAGCCCAAACAAAGUUAGCGUGCUACAAUAUCGGACAGUAGAAACCAACCAGAAAGUUCGGAAAAUCGUCUGAAUCCUCCUUGGGCCACGACUGCCGACACAGUUUCUAAUUUGAACACAUUUCAAACGUGUGUGUUCAUGUAUAAAUGUACACUCCUGUCAUGAUCCACCCAGCCCUGUCUGGAAUUUCUUCAAGUCCACUUCAGAGGUCCAUUCAUAUCAUACGAGGCCUCCUUCCUUUUUAUCGGACAUCCCUGAACCAAUCCACACUGAAGUACAGAGGUCUAUGUUUGUGGAACCAACUCCCUCACACUCUACACUCAGCAUCUUCAUCAUCAAAAGGCCAUUAAAGAGGUCAUCACUGUGAGAGUUUUGAAUGACUGAUCUUGGAUCCAUGUGAUUUGUUAACUGUCAUGUAAUUUAUAUUUCCUUGUUACUGUUAAAUUUCAUAGUUGUUUCUGCAUGUUUAUAAUUUUUUUUUUUUUUUUUUGAUGACUUGAACUGCACAGGUACUUCGACAAGCUUUAAUGGCUUCUAACCUCCCCUGUACAAUACUGUUUUAAAUCUAUCAUGAAACUGUUCUCUAUUUGUCAUGUGCAAAUGAAUAAACCAAACCAAACUAAA